UUUGGUAUGGGUAGCGUGUUACAUGAUAGUCUCUAUUGAGUUAUCGGUAGAAAUGAGUAUAUGGAUAAACAGAUAUUGAAAUGGGACCUCUACUCAGUGCCUUAUUAAUAUAUACAUACAUACAUACAUACAUACAUACACAUAUUAUUUGUAUAUAUUGCUGGGGAGCAAUGAUCUGAAAUAUAAAUACUCUCAUCUGGUCACCUUCAGGAUCCAAAUGUAAUAGCAUUGAAUAAUGAGUUGGGCAGAGAUUCAUAUAUGAGGUUCUUACAGGCCUGUGAAGAGUCUUUAGGACCAUGCCUGAGUGUAGCUCUCCUUAGACCUGUGUGAUAAUUUAGUGGAAUGUCAGUUCUACUUCUCAUCAUUAAACAUUCUUGAGCCACAGGUGCUUCCACGGAACCAGAAAGUACAAAACUUUGCACAUGAAAAAAAAAAAGCCCAUAAGUAUGCUUGUUAUAUAAAGGAAGGCUGGGACCCAGAAGAACCAGUAAUUCCUCAAGCUCUCAGUGUGAUAGACCUGGAUUGGGUGAGAAAUAGCAGGAGUCACUCAUAUAUAAAGAAAAAUAAAAAUGAGGAAUAAGAACUCAGGGUGACUCUAAGCCAAACCACACGAUGAGUGUGAAGCAUAUGCUGAGAUGAAGAACUUUAUUUUAAAUCUUCAUUGCUUUAGUGGAAGCAAGGUUAUCUUUGAGUAUGUCAAGUGGUAACACUUGUUUAAUUCGAAAGGCAACACUUACGUGACAUAUUUAACUAUUAACAAUUAUUAUAAAUUUGCAUCUUAUUACAAUGACAUUGUCCUAGUUGACAUAAAAUGACAUUACCUAACUGGAGAAGAGCAUUUGCUGGCUAACCAGAAGAUCUGAAUUAGACCCCAGGACUCACAGUGUGGAAAGAACACCAGUAAGUUCAUCAAGUUGUUACUUCCACGUGUGCACCAUGCCACAAGCACAUUCUACCCACCCAUGUGUACACGCAUGCACAUGAUUAAGUAUAAUAAAUUAACAAGAGAUUUUAGGUUGCUUUUACAAAUGGAGAUAAUAAUUAAACACCCCAUGUGUAGGAAGGCAUAGAAAAAUGAUUCCUAUUAAUUAUAUUUAAUUUAAAUUAUAUUUCUAUCUGAAUACCAUGGAAAGAAGUAGGGCACACUUAGGACUUUUGUGUAAACAGCUUCAUUAUCUCCAGGUAGAGAAUGGGCUAUUUUCCAGAAUAUGUGAAAUGGCAAAAGCAGAAUGCUCGAUCAUCUCACUUUCAUCUCGUUGAUGUUCAAGAGUCCCCUGUCCCAGAUUUAUAGUGCUUUCCUUACCCAUCCAUCAUUGUUAAUGUGCCAAUACUCUGAAUGCUGGAAGACUGGAAUUGACUGCCCGAGUCAGUUUCUUCCCAGUAGAGGUAGUUUAUCAUCUUUGCGGUUGUUGGUGUAUAUUAUUAAACAUGUUUUAUAAUUGACAGUGAUUAUAAAUUAGCACAUUACCACAAUGGCAUUUUCCUAAUUGGCUAUAUUGAUAGAUGUGUUUGGAGUGGGUAAAUUCCUGACUGUAAGCCAAGUGUCCAUCUGAGAGAGUGUUGAGACCAUCCUCAGGCCAGAAGAGAAACUCUCCACUCCACAGGUUCCCCCUUACUAUAUCUUUCUGUCCCUCUGUCACUGGUAGACAUGACUCUCAGAUUCGUAAGUUUCCACCUAUGCUCCCCUUUGACAAAAUUUCUGGGAAACCCUGGUUAAUAAAGACAUGGGGUUUCAAGACUGAAGAGAUGACUUUAAUCUGGCUAUGCCAUGGAACAGAUGAGCAGCAUCCCUCCAAACCUGUUUCCUUGAUAAAAUCUGUGGAUUAAAUUAAUGUGUCUCUCAGGGUUAUGUUAUACCCAACAUUAAACAUGGUAGGUAUGUAAUAUUUUAUUCAUUACCAAGUAUAUGGUAAUUUCUCAAUAUAUAUUGGUAAUUAUCUUAGUUCUAUAUUGCAUAAAAUAUAACAUUAAAUUAAUAAGCAUUAUCUGAUAUUGCUCAUUAUUGAAUUUAAUGUACAGCUACCAUCUCUAAAUUUGAGAAAUCACUCACUCUCUAGAACUCUAAUAACACUGUCCCCUAAAGACAAUCUUUCCAUUGAAAUAAACAAUUUAUCUUCCCAAUGUACAAUCUGCCAGGUCCACAACUACUUCUUUUUUUAAUUAAUCUCCUGACAUCUACCCUGCUGAUGUUAUCCUCCUAGCAUCUAAAGUCCUCAUUUCUCUUUACCAUUCUCUUUCAUGUUAUACACUGAACUAGGAAAAGACACCAGUAGACUUUUUCACAAUAAAAGUCCAUGCUAGUGUUCUGAAGAUGUUGCAGCAGAGAUUUAGUUGAAGCAUAUAACAUCUAUAUUCAAGCUAGGAGUGAUAGGUGUCUCCCUGACAUUCAAUUCCUUCUGCUGCCUCUGAAAUCAUUGUCAAGCAUAUAAGAAUAUGCCCCAUAGUCACAAGGUAGACUUUAAUUCUAUCUCCUGAAAUCCACUUAGUCAAGAUCAAGGGUUCUCCAAUUACAUAUUCUGUUAUUUCCUAGCUAUCAUAUAUGCUCAGCAUCUGUCAUCAGCAGAAUUUGCUCUAAUUUUUCCUCCUAUCACAAGUUUCUGCAACUUACCAGAAAACCUUACCAAGUAUGCUUCACUUCAGAUAUCAUAGUUAUUUGUGGGUCUUGCUUAGAAGCAUUAGUGGCCAGUGAUUAUUGUAGGCAGUUGCUACACAUGACUUUCUGUCAGCUUUACUUUUUUAAUUUCAUAAAAUUCUGUGUAGUACCACAGUUAAUCAGCAAAAACAUCUGUUAACUUCUCUCAAACAGGCUACAUUUCAAUGGUAGGUGAAUUUGUACGAGUUUAAUCUAACAAAUAUGUUUGGAAUGCCAGCAGUGAAUGAAUUAAAUUAAUAUUUAUUGAGAACCUACAUGUUGUAGUCAUUUGCUUGCUCUUUUGAUUAUAUAUAUAUAUACGAUCUGGCUUGACUCUUUGAAUCAUCCAGUGGGAUACAUAAUCUAGACCUUUUCAAAUGAAUUAAUUAAGAUUCAUAGAGGAGAUAUAUUUUUGUUUAAUACAUCCAAUUAAUAGGCGGAAGAAGUAUGAGUUGAAUUAAAAGUUUCCUGGGUUUGAAAUCUCUUGGUUUUCUUCAAAGAUAGGAUUUUACUAAGCAUGUGUUAUGAUGAUAGGUUGGUAAGGAAGUAUAUGAAUACAGUCCACAAUUCUGCACCUGAUUUAUAAAAUCUUGGAGUAAACUAUUUUUGUUUGUUGUUGUUGUUGUUGUUGCUUAGUUUUUUAACCAGAGGAUUCAAAGUUCUGUAGAGAUGUGUUUAUGACAUUAACUGGAUCGAAGAGAGGUAAAGGAAAUGAUAUAGAACAAACCCUUUACCUACCCCAAAGUUGUCUGCUGAUGUUUGUUAAUGUCUUCUCAUAAUUGUACAGACUGGGGGGUGGGGAAGGAUUAAUGGGGAAACAGCUAGAAACUGCCCAGCUCCAUAUUGAAGUAAAAACUAUCAUCUCAGUGUCAGUUCUUGUUUCCCUAAAUGAUAUGUGCCCACACCACUUCUCCACAUAAUGCUUCACCUACAAGACUGGCAUUUACUGCUAGACACUGGGUUCACAGCGAGCAAAAGCUGUAGCUCAGAAACAUAAAGUCCCUUUCCUACCAACUUCUAAGAGCCCAGAGGCAAUGAAUGUUGCUGUCAAGAAUAAUUUAAACAAAGGGUAUCUAGUACUGUGUUUUCAAACUGAGUCCCCAUUUCGAUUCUACUUUGGGAUAUUUGACAAUGAUGAUUCAUUUGUUGCUAUCUUAUUUUAUAGAACACAUGGAAUUUUCUUACAACAAAAGCGUAUUCUGAAUAUUGCAGAGGGCUUUCUGGUCAUGGCAUCAUACAUACUAAAUUUUCUUGUGGGAUAUGGUAAUAAAGAUUGUCCUGUAGUGUGGACAUAUUCAUAGAUUGUUUAUAGGCACAACACAGCCACCAAAUAGCCAUUUGUCCUGCCCAAGCCCUGUCAGCAUUUCUCUGAGUCUUUCGUCAUUGGCACAAUGGAUAGGUCAGAAUAUUUUGUAUUCAGGUUUUACUGCAUUUCCCUAAUAUAUUGUUUAUAACUGCUUAAUAAAACUCUCCAACAUCAUUUGCCUAAAUACAUGCUAUAAGUAGCUUUUGGACUUUUCUACCCUUUGUCUUUAUGAAAGAUUGACUUCUUAUAUAUAAUUUUGCUCCAGAAUGAAUUCACUUAUACUAAAGGCAUGAAAAAGCAUAUAUGUUAUUACUAACUGACACCAGCCUCAAGCAUUCAGAAUACCCAUAAAAGUACUCUUACACAUAAAAUACUUGUGAAGUAAUUACCCAAAGUUUUUGCUGGCUGAUCUAUGAAUUUAACAUACAUUUUGAGUGAUUGGGAACUCAAGAUGUUAUGUAUUCUCUAAACUAUUUUUUAAACCAGUCAAUGGCAAGGAAUCCCUGUUUACUUUACAGUAUCUUGCCAACAGUCCUGAUAUGCUCUUUCUGUUUUGCCAGAUGUGGAGUUCAGUAUAAGAAAAAGAUUGAAAAUAUGUCUGAAGGUAUCUAAGGCCUUCUAAUACGUAUUCAGCCCUAUAGAAAGUCUUAUGAAUAUAAAAUAAUAUCUCUAAGGCUGAAGUUCACUCAGUUCUCCUUGUGUUUCCUGGUUUUCUUUUUCAUCUGGGUAGCUCCAUAUAUUAUAUGAUAAAAAAAAUAUUUUCCUGUUCCAUGUUAAGUAUGAGACUAUUUAGUCGAUGUUUAUAGACUAAACAUCUAGAAUUAUGAUGCCAGGAGUUAAUUGCCUUUACUUCUCCCAAAAGAGGAGGUUAAGAUACUUGCUGUAUUUGCCAAACCUUUUCUCACUUUUUAAGACUUCUGAAUAUGUAGAUUUUUCUUGAGGGUUUUUUUUUCCCUAAACAUUUACAUUGGGAAAUAAGCAUAAUUAAGGCAAGC
Molecule: long non-coding RNA, 4933 nt
Filed under: Mus musculus (house mouse)
Lineage: Eukaryota; Metazoa; Chordata; Mammalia; Rodentia; Muridae
Description: long non-coding RNA chr12:89398729-89403662
Source: RNAcentral